AAAAUAUUAUGAGAGAGAGCAAUAAGCAAACAAUUGUGCAGCUUGCUGCUGCACCUACUGCCUACCGCAUAAACAUAUACAAAAGGAAACAUCAAACCUUUUUAACUCCAACUUAGCUAAGAGGAUUUGGACAUGUCAGGUUGGAAAGUUGUUCAGUUCUUUAAGAUAAGCCAAAAUUGUCCAUACAAUACAAGCUAAAGCUCUUUAAUUGGAAAGUCAAAACUCAUAUUCACUCCCUUCCAAUUUUCAUAAGCGGCUAAAUGAACUAAUACACUGUGAAUGAUUUCAAGCUCAAAUUUUCAGUUAAACAAAUAAUCCAAAAGCUCAAGAAAUCAGUUAAAUAGUUGAUAAGCAAUAACUCUUCUAAUAGAUUAUUAAACUCAGCUGAAACUUUAUCCUCGAACCUUUUUUUAAUAACCUUAUGACCCAUCUCAUUGUCGAUUCAAUUACUCUAAUCAUCAAUACCAACAAGGUCAACAUUAACAUAAACAACAAACCUAAAAAUAAAGUCAUUUCCGAUCACAGCAUAUAUCAAAAUACUCAUUUAAUUCGAACAAGAUACCCAUGUAUGUUUUAGCCGUUCAUAGUCAAGAAACAAAGAAAACUAGAACAAGAGCGAACUGGAGUUAGAAAAUUAUUUCCGCAAUAGAUAGAGGAAAAUAUUUUGUUCCAAAAUUAUAGCUUACAACAGCAACAACAUGAGCAGAAACAGCUAUUAGCGGAAAUAACUGAAAAUAUUAAACAAAGCUCUUGAGAGGGGAGAAGAGAUUCAGCAACAGUAACAACAUCCCCAACCAGUCCGCCAACCAAAUCCAAAUCUCAGCCAAAUAUUUCAGACAGAAAUCCAAUCAAUACAAAGUUCCGAGUCCCAGCCAAAGAAACCAACUUAACCUCAAAUAAUAAUCAUUUUUGAGAACCAGAGAUGGAAAAAAGAUUCUGAUAUUUGUAGUUUCGAUUUCUUUAAAAAAACGAAACAAAAAUUGUGCCUAAAAAAACCAAACUCAGACCAUGAUUUCGUAUAUUUUUUUUGUUGAAUAAAAAAACGAAAGCCCCAGAAAAAUAAAAACCAAGAAAAAACCUAGAACUUCCACUACAAAAUUUCCUAAAGAUUUUUCUCUGAUUUUUCUCCGAUUUUUUUCUCUCUGAAUAUUCUGUAUAUUUCGUGUAUCCCCUUUCAUACAAGACAUACCUCAUAUAUAUACCCUUCAAAAGUUCUUGAAUCUUCUCUCAAAAAUCCGAAAUCCUUCAGAUAUUUUGAACGAUUUUUGGACAAAUGGAGGGCACUGAUCGAUUUUCAUCAAUCCACGGCCCCAAUGAAUCCAGCAAUCUUCCUUCUUCGUACGAAGGUUGUACAAUUUCUGAGCAAAUUUGUACACAAAUUGGUUGAGGAUAAGGUGACGUGGACCAAUGAGUGAACUCGUAAACGAGUUAGGGCGAGUUUGAAGGCUGAGUAUUCGGAGAAGAAGAUGAAUAGUAGAGAGGAGGGGCGCUGCAUAUGACUGUCUCUAGGGUUAAG
This 1516-nucleotide long non-coding RNA is filed under the name Nicotiana benthamiana. Its description in RNAcentral is "long non-coding RNA (NBEN_LNC011711)". Lineage: Eukaryota; Viridiplantae; Streptophyta; Magnoliopsida; Solanales; Solanaceae. The record is from RNAcentral.